RNAcentral lists this ribosomal RNA (246 nucleotides) under uncultured bacterium. RNAcentral's name for it is "partial 16S ribosomal RNA". It matches the Rfam family "Bacterial small subunit ribosomal RNA", at positions 111 to 353 of the family's 1533-position model. The record is from RNAcentral.
UAACACGUGGGUAACCUGCCUUAUAGUGGGGGAUAGCCUUUCGAAAGGAAGAUUAAUACCGCAUAAGAUUGUAGUAUCGCAUGAUAUAGCAAUUAAAGGAGCAAUUCGCUAUAAGAUGGACCCGCGUCGUAUUAGCUAGUUGGUGAGGUAAUGGCUCACCAAGGCGACGAUGCGUAGCCGACCUGAGAGGGUGAUCGGCCACAUUGGGACUGAGACACGGCCCAGACUCCUACGGGAGGCAGCAUG